GCCCUGGCAGUCAGAGGCGAUGAAGGACGUGCUAAUCUGCGAUAAGCGUCGGUAAGGUGAUAUGAACCGUUAUAACCGGCGAUUUCCGAAUGGGGAAACCCAGUGUGAUUCGUCACACUAUCAUUAACUGAAUCCAUAGGUUAAUGAGGCGAACCGGGGGAACUGAAACAUCUAAGUACCCCGAGGAAAAGAAAUCAACCGAGAUUCCCCCAGUAGCGGCGAGCGAACGGGGAGGAGCCCAGAGCCUGAAUCAGUGUGUGUGUUAGUGGAAGCGUCUGGAAAGGCGCGCGAUACAGGGUGACAGCCCCGUACACAAAAAUGCACAUGCUGUGAGCUCGAUGAGUAGGGCGGGACACGUGGUAUCCUGUCUGAAUAUGGGGGGACCAUCCUCCAAGGCUAAAUACUCCUGACUGACCGAUAGUGAACCAGUACCGUGAGGGAAAGGCGAAAAGAACCCCGGCGAGGGGAGUGAAAAAGAACCUGAAACCGUGUACGUACAAGCAGUGGGAGCACAGAGCAAUCUGUGUGACUGCGUACCUUUUGUAUAAUGGGUCAGCGACUUAUAUUCUGUAGCAAGGUUAACCGAAUAGGGGAGCCGAAGGGAAACCGAGUCUUAACUGGGCGUUAAGUUGCAGGGUAUAGACCCGAAACCCGGUGAUCUAGCCAUGGGCAGGUUGAAGGUUGGGUAACACUAACUGGAGGACCGAACCGACUAAUGUUGAAAAAUUAGCGGAUGACUUGUGGCUGGGGGUGAAAGGCCAAUCAAACCGGGAGAUAGCUGGUUCUCCCCGAAAGCUAUUUAGGUAGCGCCUCGUGAAUUCAUCUCCGGGGGUAGAGCACUGUUUCGGCAAGGGGGUCAUCCCGACUUACCAACCCGAUGCAAACUGCGAAUACCGGAGAAUGUUAUCACGGGAGACACACGGCGGGUGCUAACGUCCGUCGUGAAGAGGGAAACAACCCAGACCGCCAGCUAAGGUCCCAAAGUCAUGGUUAAGUGGGAAACGAUGUGGGAAGGCCCAGACAGCCAGGAUGUUGGCUUAGAAGCAGCCAUCAUUUAAAGAAAGCGUAAUAGCUCACUGGUCGAGUCGGCCUGCGCGGAAGAUGUAACGGGGCUAAACCAUGCACCGAAGCUGCGGCAGCGACACUAUGUGUUGUUGGGUAGGGGAGCGUUCUGUAAGCCUGUGAAGGUGUGCUGUGAGGCAUGCUGGAGGUAUCAGAAGUGCGAAUGCUGACAUAAGUAACGAUAAAGCGGGUGAAAAGCCCGCUCGCCGGAAGACCAAGGGUUCCUGUCCAACGUUAAUCGGGGCAGGGUGAGUCGACCCCUAAGGCGAGGCCGAAAGGCGUAGUCGAUGGGAAACAGGUUAAUAUUCCUGUACUUGGUGUUACUGCGAAGGGGGGACGGAGAAGGCUAUGUUGGCCGGGCGACGGUUGUCCCGGUUUAAGCGUGUAGGCUGGUUUUCCAGGCAAAUCCGGAAAAUCAAGGCUGAGGCGUGAUGACGAGGCACUACGGUGCUGAAGCAACAAAUGCCCUGCUUCCAGGAAAAGCCUCUAAGCAUCAGGUAACAUCAAAUCGUACCCCAAACCGACACAGGUGGUCAGGUAGAGAAUACCAAGGCGCUUGAGAGAACUCGGGUGAAGGAACUAGGCAAAAUGGUGCCGUAACUUCGGGAGAAGGCACGCUGAUAUGUAGGUGAAGCGACUUGCUCGUGGAGCUGAAAUCAGUCGAAGAUACCAGCUGGCUGCAACUGUUUAUUAAAAACACAGCACUGUGCAAACACGAAAGUGGACGUAUACGGUGUGACGCCUGCCCGGUGCCGGAAGGUUAAUUGAUGGGGUCAGCGCAAGCGAAGCUCUUGAUCGAAGCCCCGGUAAACGGCGGCCGUAACUAUAACGGUCCUAAGGUAGCGAAAUUCCUUGUCGGGUAAGUUCCGACCUGCACGAAUGGCGUAAUGAUGGCCAGGCUGUCUCCACCCGAGACUCAGUGAAAUUGAACUCGCUGUGAAGAUGCAGUGUACCCGCGGCAAGACGGAAAGACCCCGUGAACCUUUACUAUAGCUUGACACUGAACAUUGAGCCUUGAUG
RNAcentral lists this ribosomal RNA (2082 nucleotides) under Escherichia coli. RNAcentral's name for it is "partial 23S ribosomal RNA". It matches the Rfam family "Bacterial large subunit ribosomal RNA", at positions 30 to 2136 of the family's 2925-position model. The record is from RNAcentral. Lineage: Bacteria; Pseudomonadati; Pseudomonadota; Gammaproteobacteria; Enterobacterales; Enterobacteriaceae.